AUGGUUUUCCCUUGUUUAUUACUUUUUUCCCGUUUCUUUAAUCCAACCGUGCUUGCCGGCUGCCAUUGCUGGCGAGCGGGUGACUUUUAAGAGAGUACCCUGCCCUUGACUCCGGGAUAAUCUUGGGAAACUGGGUCAAUUACUGGAUAUGACUUCUCACCGCAUGGUGGGGGGUGGAAAGAUUUAUCUGCUCUUGUAUCUAACAG
This 206-nucleotide ribosomal RNA is filed under the name Arthrobacter sp. NTC-11. RNAcentral's name for it is "partial 16S ribosomal RNA". The record is from RNAcentral. Lineage: Bacteria; Bacillati; Actinomycetota; Actinomycetes; Micrococcales; Micrococcaceae.